Molecule: long non-coding RNA, 411 nt
Organism: Bolinopsis microptera
Lineage: Eukaryota; Metazoa; Ctenophora; Tentaculata; Lobata; Bolinopsidae
Exons: 5
Source: RefSeq, a predicted model, not a curated record
AAUAUUAUCUGCCAUUUGUUCAAUUAGUUACAUUUCCAGGGUCAAAUUACAGAUAGUAAUUGAGAGCGGCUUUAGAAAUCAGGGAACGUGACCUAUACAUAGCAUAGAUUAUCUCUUAAUCAGCUGAAUUCUGUUCAACGAGUACAGUAGACACAAGACAACCUCAAGAAAGCUUCUAGACUACUCCGCUUACUGUCACAACACUAUUCAACCAACGAGUUUUCGAAGAUUAUCACCCUGGGACACUCUUCUGCUUCAUUCUCAAGGCACAACACCACAACUUCAGAAGAUGCAAGGAGCGUGUUCUUAACUCUCCAAAACGAAGGAGGGGAUCUGCAAUAAACAAAGACGAUAUAUUUUUGGCCAGAAAUUUGCGGAGUUCCUUCGUCUUGAUAUCGGUCUUGGCUGCAG